Molecule: ribosomal RNA, 500 nt
Filed under: uncultured bacterium
Lineage: Bacteria
Description: bacterial SSU rRNA
Rfam family: Bacterial small subunit ribosomal RNA
Source: RNAcentral
AGAGUUUGAUCCUGGCUCAGGACGAACGCUGGCGGCGUGCCUAACACAUGCAAGUCGAACGGGGUUGAGCCCUUCGGGACUCAACUUAGUGGCGAACGGGUGAGUAACGCGUGAGAAACCUGCCUUUCAGUGGGGGACAACAGUUGGAAACGACUGCUAAUACCGCAUAAUGUAUUUUGGGGGCAUCCCUUUAAUACCAAAGCUUUAUGUGCUGAAAGAUGGUCUCGCGUCUGAUUAGCUAGAUGGCGGGGUAACGGCCCACCAUGGCGACGAUCAGUAGCCGGUCUGAGAGGAUGAACGGCCACAUUGGGACUGAGAUACGGCCCAGACUCCUACGGGAGGCAGCAGUGGGGAAUAUUGGGCAAUGGGGGAAACCCUGACCCAGCAACGCCGCGUGAAGGAAGAAGGCCUUCGGGUUGUAAACUUCUUUUAGUAGGGACGAAGAACGUGACGGUACCUACAGAAAAAGCAACGGCUAACUACGUGCCAGCAGCCGCGGU